AUGGAGAAGCUUCUGAAUGUCACCCACCAAGAAGCUGCGAGCUGGAUGCUCCACAGAUAUGAUGUACAGAGCCUUCCCUGCUGGCCCUUUUCCUUCCACCUGGAGAUCAGCCUAGGUCCACAGCAUCCUUUAAGAGGAGGAGAGAAGGCAAGGAACGAGAGGGAUGAGGACAGGUCCCUGAGCAGGAAAGGGGCCUGCAGUACGGGGGAAGCCAGCUUGGUGGAGUCCGCAGGCGCCCCCCUUGGAGGUGCAGCACUGGCCUCGCAGUUCCCAGGCGGGAGAGCGCGGGAGGGCGGCCGGCGGGAUCGGGUCCUCGGUGGCUGGGGAUGCAGCCAUGUAAGGCCUUACGAAACGUGCAGAGCCGGCCCCGGCGCCGGCAGUACGGCCGCGGGGGGACGGACACCCACGCGGGAGACCGCCCCAAGCCCUGCCCGCCGCGGGCUGCGGAGGCUUCCGCACAGGCGGGCAAACCGCGCUGCGUCCGCCCCGCCCCGGCCCGCCCUGUGCCGCGGGGCUCAGGGCCCACGACGCUUACUCAGGUGGAGUUUCCAGUUGAGCUCGGCUCGAGGGUUUAAAUGGAUGACGUGUUCCAUCCGAAGUCGGAGUUCAUGUGAUCUUACUUCUGUGUCUAACCCCGUUCUCACCUCUAUCCCUAAAUUACUCUCUUCAGCUCCCACCCCUGAGCUCCCUCGCCUGACAGUGAUCGGCACUCGUGCUGCCAUCUGCAGACAGGAGCAUUCCCAUGUGGCCCCGGUCCCCGGGCCGGGCAGUGGCGGCCCAGGACCACGCGUCUACUUUCAGAGCCCCCUCCGGGGCCGCAGGAGAGGGCCCGGGCGGCACGGACGAUGAGGGCCCAGUGAGGCGCCAAGGGAAGGUCACCGUCCAGUAUGACCUCAAGGAACUACGGAAGCGCCUCAACCUGGAGGAGUGGAUCCUGGAGCAGCUUACGCGCCUCUACGACUGCCAGGAAGAGGAGAUCCCAGAACUAGAGAUUGAUGUGGAUGAGCUCCUGGACAAGGAGAGUGAUGAUGCCCGGGCUGCUGGUUGACUGUUACAAACCCACAGAGGCCUUCACCUCUGGCCUGCCGGGCAAGAUCCGGGGCAUGCAGAAGCUGAGCACACCCCAGAAGAAGUGAGGGUCCCCGACCCAGGCGAACGGUGGCUCCCACAGAACAAUCGCUGCCCCUCGAACUCGUAGCAACAGCAACACCGGGGGACCCUGCGGCCAGGCCUGGUGCCAUGAGCAGGGCUCCUCGUGCCCCUGGCCUAGGAGUCUCUUCCCCUGCCCCCUCAGUUUUCCACUUUUGGGGUUUUUUUAUUGUUAUUAAACUGAUGGGACUUUU
RNA transcript from Mandrillus leucophaeus (drill), 1343 nucleotides. RefSeq lists it as uncharacterized. The transcript has 5 exons. Lineage: Eukaryota; Metazoa; Chordata; Mammalia; Primates; Cercopithecidae. The record is from RefSeq and is a predicted model, not a curated record.